AAAAAUGUCUGACAGAAAGUGCCGGAAGCUCCGGAAGUAUCCUUUUCGUUGCGGUUGGAUGCAGAUAAACGGUAGAUUAUUGGCCGCUGUGUUAUGUAAGGAUGUCAAUAUGGAUCACGGAAGAUCCUAGCAACUUAUCGCGUCUGGCCAAACUACUGCGAUUCCAUUCCAACGUGCUGAUACCACAUUAACACCAGUCGUCCAACAGCAAGAGCUAAAAUCAGGAAUGCCCUGUUCGCCUUCGUCUUUGAACCUUGCAGUGCGCUACCGUUUCCAAUGCUUCGCUGGACCAACCAAAGGAACGCCUUAGCUUUGCUAACGCCCAUUAGAAGAUCCACGCCUCUAUAGAAAAUGUAUACCAAUUAUCAACAACCAGAAACCAACAUGGCUUGAGCAGGAACUAAUAACUAAUAAUUAUUAGUUCCUGGCUCGAGUAUGUUUGAAAUCGACUGCUCCACGACCACGAACAUAACAACAACGCCUCCUGUCCUACAGGCAAAUAUAUCUCAGAUUAACCAGGUACACAAGCAGAAAGAAAGUCUUUUAAAUAACGAUUGCUAAGACAAAAUAAUAUUGUGUUGUUUUACUUGCAAUGUUAAACUAACAGGAUAAUGUAUUUCAUUGAGUGUUGACACUUUUUAAUCCAGAGAACUCCGAGAUCCGGACUAACGAGUCAUUGGAUUAGCAAAGGCCGAAUAAGCGGGGGAUACUGUAUAUUGAAUCUAAUAAUAAAUCAGAAUUCGAAUGAAAUCCACAGUAUAUUUCUUUGUUUCACAAUCUAUUUUAUCAACAGGAAAAAUCCACAUUUCUUGUGAGAUGCAAAAAAAUUAUGUACAUCAUUACAAAAUAUCAUUACACUAUGUAAUGUCAAUUCAAUAUAUCAAAGUGUAAUAAUGUUUUGUGGAGAUGUGAAUAAUUCAUUUUUGCAUCUCACAAGAAAUGUGAAUCUGUUAAUACAAUAAAUUGUGAAACAUUAAAUCGUAUUGUAUUUCUAUUGUAAUACUGCAGUGAAAUUUAUAUAUAAUUCCUAUUGUACUACUAUGGUAAAACAAUAAAAAAAAUCAGGAAAAACAUUUAAAACACAUUGUUUUCUAUUAUUUGG
Long non-coding RNA from Armigeres subalbatus, 1102 nucleotides. RefSeq lists it as uncharacterized. NCBI's taxonomy places the organism in Eukaryota, Metazoa, Arthropoda, Insecta, Diptera, Culicidae. The transcript is spliced from 3 exons. The record is from RefSeq and is a predicted model, not a curated record.